ACGGGAGGCAGCAGUGGGGAAUAUUGGGCAAUGGGGGAAACCCUGACCCAGCAACGCCGCGUGGAGGAAGAAGGUCUUCGGAUCGUAAACUCCUGUCCUCAAAGACGAGAAGAAGACGGUAAUUGAGGAGGAAGCCCCGGCUAACUACGUGCCAGCAGCCGCGGUAAUACGUAGGGGGCAAGCGUUGUCCGGAAUGAUUGGGCGUAAAGGGCGCGUAGGCGGCCCGUUAAGUCUGGAGUGAAAGUCCUGCUUUUAAGGUGGGAAUUGCUUUUAAAACUGGAUAGCUUGAGUGCGGAAGAGGUAAGUGGAAUUCCCAGUGUAGCGGUGUAAUGCGUAGAGAUUGGGAAGAACACCAGUGGCGAAGGCGACUUACUGGGCCGUAACUGACGCUGAGGCGCGAAAGCGUGGGGAGCAAACAGGAUUAGAUACCCUGGUA
RNAcentral lists this ribosomal RNA (436 nucleotides) under uncultured bacterium. Its description in RNAcentral is "partial 16S ribosomal RNA". It matches the Rfam family "Bacterial small subunit ribosomal RNA", at positions 341 to 792 of the family's 1533-position model. The record is from RNAcentral.